CUCGCCCAGCCAGGAAUCCAGGAAUGUGCAGCAUGGAUGCCCAAGUCUGAGUGGAGGUUGCAUCAGUUUCAAAGACAUUGUGCUCUUCCCUGCCGUGGUGGAGUGGUGAGCCGGUUGACAUCCCGGAAAAGGUUGUUAGGGAGUGGAGGUGGGUGGAAGGAGCUGGGAGGUGACAAGACAGCCUACCUGUAGACCCACUCCAGGGCCUCCUUUCUGCUGAGAGCUGGGAAGACAACAGGACAACCUGCCUGCAGAGAGGAGCUUCCAACUCCAGGGUCUCCUCUGUGCUAGGAGCUGAACACUUGAUGCGACACCCUGGCUGCGUAAAGGAGCUACCCACUGUGGGUCCUCUGUGAGAUGUUCUAUUGCUCAAUAAAGCUCCUCUUCAUCUUGUUCACCC
This 400-nucleotide long non-coding RNA is filed under the name Homo sapiens (human). RNAcentral describes it as "HSALNT0335542". The record is from RNAcentral. Lineage: Eukaryota; Metazoa; Chordata; Mammalia; Primates; Hominidae.